AAAUAAGUGUUUUCUGCCUUAUAAUGUUUCAUAAAUGUUAGUUGAACAUCAAUUUAACACACCAAAAUUAGACAACAUUUUAAAUUAUUAGCACAUUCUGCACACGUAGCUAACACAAUUCAAUGAAUAGAUAUAAUGAGUACAUUAGGAUUGAAUAACUCAUUAAUCAUCAACCGGACAAAUGAAUUUGAAUGUUCUUAAUCAUGAAUUUAGGUACUCAAACUACAUAUAUAUAAAUUUGGGCACAUGCAAAUUGUGGUUAAUCGCGUUGAAAUUUGUGAUUAAUAAAGAUCAUUAAAUAAUAAAUAUUAUAAGUUGUAACAUAUCGAGGGUUUGCUAACUAGUAUCCCAGAGGCAGUAGGUAUUUUUCAAAUAUUUAUUAUGCAAAUCUAACACUUCAUCAAUCAUGUGUGUGAACUACGUACCCUAACCAUUUUAAAAUGUGAAUUUAAUUAGGUGUCCCGAAUUGAUGUUGCAAUUACAUUUCUCUAAUUUUUAUGUGCGAGAAGUGUUAUAAUAUAAGUUAAGGAUAAGACUUCAGGUCUAUCCCUACUUUGAUAUCUAGAUGCUCUUAAUUUAUAAAAAAAAAAAAAAAA
RNAcentral lists this long non-coding RNA (596 nucleotides) under Trifolium pratense (red clover). RNAcentral describes it as "long non-coding RNA (TPRA_LNC010218)". Lineage: Eukaryota; Viridiplantae; Streptophyta; Magnoliopsida; Fabales; Fabaceae. The record is from RNAcentral.